Molecule: transfer RNA, 63 nt
Filed under: Neochauliodes rotundatus
Lineage: Eukaryota; Metazoa; Arthropoda; Insecta; Megaloptera; Corydalidae
Also listed under: 2 other names
Description: tRNA-Thr
Rfam family: tRNA
About the family: Transfer RNA (tRNA) molecules are approximately 80 nucleotides in length. Their secondary structure includes four short double-helical elements and three loops (D, anti-codon, and T loops).
Source: RNAcentral
GUUUUAAUAGUUUAACAAAAACAUUGGUCUUGUAAACCAAAAAUAAGAUUUUCUUUUAAAACU